Molecule: ribosomal RNA, 253 nt
Filed under: uncultured bacterium
Lineage: Bacteria
Description: partial 16S ribosomal RNA
Rfam family: Bacterial small subunit ribosomal RNA
Source: RNAcentral
UACGUAGGGUGCGAGCGUUAAUCGGAAUUACUGGGCGUAAAGCGUGCGCAGGCGGUUGGCUGUGUCCUGUGUGAAAGCCCCGGGCUCAACCUGGGAAUGGCAUGGGAAACUGGCUGGCUGGAGUGUGGCAGAGGGGGGUGGAAUUCCGCGUGUAGCAGUGAAAUGCGUAGAGAUGCGGAGGAACACCGAUGGCGAAGGCAGCCCCCUGGGCCAACACUGACGCUCAGGCACGAAAGCGUGGGGAGCGAACAGG